CUGCUCAAUGAUUUUUUAAAUUGCUGUGGUAUUUUGACUAUACGAAGGUAUUGAAAUAAGGCUUUAAAUGGGUGCUAAGAGAAUGGUUUAACAAUUAAUAACUUUCUUUAAAUAAAAAAUUGAAUUUAAUUUUUUAAGUGAAAAAGCUAAAAUGAUGAUUAGGGACAAGAAGACCCUAUGAAUUUUUAUUAUAUGAUUAUAUAAUUUGAUUGGGGCGAUAUGAAAAGAUUAGGAAUCUUUUUUUAAGAUUAAUUUGUUCCGUUAAUAGCGAUUAAAUGAGAAAAAUACUCUAGGGAUAACAGCGUAAUAAUUUUGGAUAGUUCAUAUAGAUAAAAUAGUUUGCGACCUCGAUGUUGGAUUAGGAUACUUUUUUGGUGAAGAAGUUAAAAAAAGAAGUUUGUUCAACUUUUAAAUUCCUACUUGAUCUGAGUUCAGACCGG
Molecule: ribosomal RNA, 440 nt
Filed under: Ixodes kopsteini
Lineage: Eukaryota; Metazoa; Arthropoda; Arachnida; Ixodida; Ixodidae
Description: partial 16S ribosomal RNA
Rfam family: Bacterial large subunit ribosomal RNA (bases 163-440)
Source: RNAcentral